This is an RNA transcript of Nematostella vectensis (starlet sea anemone), 2181 nucleotides long. RefSeq lists it as uncharacterized. NCBI's taxonomy places the organism in Eukaryota, Metazoa, Cnidaria, Anthozoa, Actiniaria, Edwardsiidae. The record is from RefSeq and is a predicted model, not a curated record. The transcript is spliced from 2 exons.
UUCUGAUUGUUUUACUGCGACUAAGAGAGAAUUUCUUGCUGCGACUAGCGGCUUUCAACCUUUUUUUUACCCUCAGGGGUGACGUCACCCGACUUCCAAGAAAUCAAGUCAAGAGCGAACACAUUCAGUUUUGACAUACACCCUUGCUAACAAUGCCGACAAAUCUUGAGCUUCUAAAUGCUGGUUUCUCUGCUAUACUCGGUGCCAGGUUUACCUCCGGCCCGAAUGUAGAAAGCAUAGCUUCCGUGAAAGAGUUUUCAAUCCAUGAUUUGUUCCAUCAAACAUUUGACGAGGUACACAAAGAUCAAGAUUUCGAGAUCCAAUUUGCUCAUUUUGAAGAUGAUGACCAGAUCGUAAGCAACCCGCACAUCGCUGUGUUAACUCUUACUGGAGAAAGAAUUCUUAUCCCGUUCAAGUCGCCCAAGCACACAAUCAUAGAGGUAAAAUACUUGAUUGAAGCAAAAGGUGGAUAUCCUAAAGAUCAGCAAAGAUUAGUAUUCAACGGCCAAGUUCUAAGCGAUGAAGAUACAUUUGAAAAGGUGGGGAUUUUUGCCGGUGCGACCUUACACCUGAUUGUCCGUCUGCUAGGAGGUGAAUGCCCGACCUACCGCCUAAAAAAUGACGAGCUUGAUCUACCCUACGACUACGACUUCACUAAUACAAAAGACGACGGCAAAACGUACAUGAGAGGAGGCUUCGAGUACAAGAGGCCGUAUGGCUGGAAACGAGUCGCUAUCAAGGUACUAGGGAGGUAUGAGUCAAGUGAUUGGCUCGGUCCAAAUGGAAUCCGAACAAGCCAAGUUCCCAGAGAAUGGCCUGUAGCCUAUCAUGGGACGAAUUUCACAAAUGCAAACUCAAUCCUCCAGAAAGGUCUCAAACCAGGAGACAGAGCGUUAUACGAAAAAGGGGUGUACACAAGCCCAAGUCUCCAGAUGGUCGAGAAAUACUACGCGCAAGAGUUCAAGUACGAGGGGAAGAGCUACAAGAUAGUGUUCCAAAGUCGUGUUAACCCGGAUCAAAGCAAUGGCCAUCUUAAAAUCAUCCCGGCGUCGAAAACAGGGGUCGGCGCAGAUUACUGGUUGUCACCUAAACAGAACGUCAGAAAAGGUCCAUAUGAUGUGCGUCCAUACGGGAUCCUUAUCAAGCAAACGUAAUAGCUCUUUUCAGCCACACCGUAGUUAUUGUUUUCAUCUAAUAUUGGAAGGCACAUAAUGCGUUAAAACUCGAAAUAACCAUCUUUACUUACCAAAUUCAAUCAAAAAGAACGCAAUGGCUUCUCUUAAUCAACCGAUGGAAAUGGAUGCUUCUUCACGGUUGUUACUCUGCUAGGAUGACAAAAUGGCGGCUGAAAGAGGCUGUCAUUAUUGUAUGCUUGCAUUGUUUUGUAACGGUUUUUUUUUUCUUUGGAAAAAAAUAAUGCUUACUUGUUACUGUGCCAUCAAACGUGCGUGUGUGUGUAUCAAAAUAUAUUUUCAACAAGUUCUCUUUUGUCAGUUAAUUCAGCAGGUCAAUAAACCAACAAUUGUCAAUAGGCUUUUGCCCGCGUGACCCUAACAAAUCUUUCCCUGAUAGCAGAGGCCUCUUUUCUCAAAACGGUCCUUAUUAUUCUUCCAAAAUAACUGCCACAACCCACUUAAACACGAAGGCGCGGUAUAAAACGCCGCUUCCCAGGGAAGCAUCGGCUUAUUUGUCAAUCAACCGCCGUGGAGUGAGGAUCAAAUUCAAGAUGGCGGCAAAAGUCAAUUACAAAAUGCAGAGGGGAGAGGUUUCAAAGCGCUUUCUGAUGUAUAAAAAUGCCAAUUCUACUUUCUAGUCCGAUAGAAUGUGUAAAUAAGGAAACUCAGUAGAAAUAAAGCUACGAAACCAUCGUGAUUUACGCAAAAAAAAAUACAAGCAAACGCAUGACCUGAAAACAACGAUUGCAAACCUCGAAAAAAGCUAUACCCAAGAAGCAAGUCAUAGUGACAUCUGAAUAAUCAACAAGAUAUAUUCCUCAAGAAAAAGCAGAUACAUAGAAAUAUACAGUCUUACAUUUUCCAUGGAUUUUCAAUCAUAAACAUUCCUUUUUUAAGGGAAACAUGUUCCGUUGUUAUCAAAUUGAUUUAUGUGUUACUGAAGUGUUUAGCUACCAGUCAUAUUUUAAAAACUGCAUAAUAAAUUAUACUUUUGAAUAAACCAAAA